RNAcentral lists this ribosomal RNA (541 nucleotides) under uncultured Hypocreaceae. RNAcentral describes it as "eukaryotic LSU rRNA". The stretch from base 177 to 330 matches the Rfam family "5.8S ribosomal RNA". Lineage: Eukaryota; Fungi; Ascomycota; Sordariomycetes; Hypocreales. The record is from RNAcentral.
UAACGUUACCAAACUGUUGCCUCGGCGGGAUCUUCUGCCCCGGGUGCGUCGCAGCCCCGGACCAAGGCGCCCGCCGGAGGAAUCAACCAAAACUCUUAUUGUAUACCCCCUCGCGGGUUUUUUUUAUAAUCUGAGCCUUCUCGGCGCCUCUCGUAGGCGUUUCGAAAAUGAAUCAAAACUUUCAACAACGGAUCUCUUGGUUCUGGCAUCGAUGAAGAACGCAGCGAAAUGCGAUAAGUAAUGUGAAUUGCAGAAUUCAGUGAAUCAUCGAAUCUUUGAACGCACAUUGCGCCCGCCAGUAUUCUGGCGGGCAUGCCUGUCCGAGCGUCAUUUCAACCCUCGAACCCCUCCGGGGGGUCGGCGUUGGGGAUCGGCCUUCCUUCACGGGGGCCGUCUCCGAAAUACAGUGGCGGUCUCGCCGCAGCCUCUCCUGCGCAGUAGUUUGCACACUCGCAUCGGGAGCGCGGCGCGUCCACAGCCGUUAAACACCCAACUUUCUGAAAUGUUGACCUCGGAUCAGGUAGGAAUACCCGCUGAACUU